RNAcentral lists this ribosomal RNA (774 nucleotides) under uncultured Neocallimastigales. RNAcentral's name for it is "partial large subunit ribosomal RNA". It matches the Rfam family "Eukaryotic large subunit ribosomal RNA", at positions 22 to 641 of the family's 3401-position model. Lineage: Eukaryota; Fungi; Neocallimastigomycota; Neocallimastigomycetes; Neocallimastigales. The record is from RNAcentral.
GUACACGCUGUGACUAGCAUAUCAAUAAGCGGAGGAAAAGAAACUAACAAGGAUUCCCCUAGUAACGGCGAGUGAAGCGGGAAGAGCUCAAAUUUGAAAUCUUAAAGGGUUUCCCUUUACGAAUUGUAGUUUAAAGAAGUGUUUUCUGUUGAGGUUUUGGUAAAAGUUCUUUGGAAUAGGACAUCAUAGAGGGUGAGAAUCCCGUAUUUGACCUUUACUUUCAACUUUGUGAUACACUUUCAAAGAGUCGGAUUGUUUGGGAAUGCAGUCCAAAAUGGGUGGUAAAUUUCAUCUAAAGCUAAAUAUUGGCGAGAGACCGAUAGCGAACAAGUACCGUGAGGGAAAGAUGAAAAGAACUUUGAAAAGAGAGUUAAACAGUACGUGAAAUUGUCAAAAGGGAAGCGUUUGACACCGGUGUUGUUUUUCUGAAAAUCAAUUAAAGAACUGUUUAUGCUAAGCUGUUUAGACUUUAUCAGCUAUCUGUUUAGUUUUGAGCUUUUCUUUAAUGCACUUUUCAGUUAACAAGUCAACAUCAAUUUCUUUUGCUGUAAAAAAGCUUGAGGAAGGUGGCUUGAGAUUCGUCUUAAGUGUUUAUAGCCUCUUGCCUAUGCAGUCGGAGAGAUUGAGGUCUGCAGCGUAGAUCCUUCGGGGCUAAAUGCAUUUGUGCUAAGUUAUAACAUUUUAUAGACAACUUGUUGACUAUGAUUUGUCUUGUAGCUUACUCGCUUAUGUUAUUUUACCUACGCUUAGGAUGUUGACGAGACUGUCGAUCUC